GACGGGCGGGAGUAGGGUUGGGGGGAGCGGGACUUGCACAGACAUAAGCCCACAAGGCGGAUCAAUUCACUAGGGCCAUUUGGAAUAAGGAAGCCUUCCAUGUGUUAAGGUGUCUCAUCUUUUCAGCUUGUCCCCAGAGGAGUUUGUGGGUGCAGGGAAGGUGCGAUAUAAACGUAGUUCGCUGCUGGCUUCGGUUGGAUUUCUGGGUAGGCGAUCAACCUUAGUGCUGACCAAGGUAUCAGGAGGAUGAGAAGUGAGUGUCCACAUGUAUAUAACUCUCUCAGCCCUACUCAAGACAAUCCAUGUUGCUUCGGACACUGGAAUUUGCUUAUUCCAAAUCCAAAUGCUCUUCUCCCCAUGUGGAUUUUGAUUCUACGAGAAGAGUUUUAUUGCAUCAUAACCAAAACCAAAUGAUUCAACAAAAGCUUGGCUACCAUUAAUGUAAGAAAAGAAGGAAGAAACAUACCCCAAGAUUUGGGAAUUCCUUUAUUGAAAAAAUAAAAAGCUGUUUUGGAAUCACUUAAAAAAUACAGUAUAAAAGCAAGUCUAGAAUCGGCAACACAUUAAAAAUAGGACAUUAUACGCUACAUUUUAGAUUAGAAUAAUCCAUAUGUACAUAAAGAUGUCAUUUUGAAGGUA
Long non-coding RNA from Pantherophis guttatus, 639 nucleotides. RefSeq lists it as uncharacterized. NCBI's taxonomy places the organism in Eukaryota, Metazoa, Chordata, Lepidosauria, Squamata, Colubridae. The record is from RefSeq and is a predicted model, not a curated record.